CCAUAAAUGAACCCCUCCCCCACCGCCCCCCCCCCCCCCACCGUGACGCCGUUUUGCAGCCACCGCAGCGGCCAAAGGCGCAGCCACGGAGGUGAGGACGGGGCGGCCCCAUAGAUCCGCCCCAUAGCUCUGCCCCAUAGAUGCCCCAUAGCUGCCCUAUAGCGCCCCAUAGCGCCCCAUAGCGCCCCAUAGACCCCAUUCAUCCUCCAUCCAUUCCCAUUGCCCUCCAUCUCUGCCCCAUAGAGCUCCAUAUCUGCCCCAUAGAGCCCCAUAGCGCCCCAUAGCUCUGCCCCAUAGAUGCCCCAUAGCCGCCCUAUAGCGCCCCAUAGCGCCCCAUAACCCCAAAGACCCCAUUCAUCCUCCAUCCAUUCCCAUUGCCUCAUAUCGGCCCCAUAGAGCUCCAUAUCUGCCCCAUAGAGCCCCAUAGCGCCCCAUAGCUCUGCCCCAUAGAUGCCCCAUAGCCGCCCCAUAGCGCCCCAUAGCGCCCCAUAACCCCACAGCCCCCAUUCAUCCUCCAUCCAUUCCCAUUGCCUUCCAUCUCUGCCCCAUUGAGCCCCAUAUCGCCCCAUAGCUCUGCCCCAUAGAUGCCCCAUAGCCGCCCCAUAGCGCCCCAUAUCCCCAUAGCCCCCAUUCAUUCUCCAUCCAUUCCUAUUGCCUUCCAUCUCUGCCCCAUAGAGCCCCAUCUCUGCCCCAUAGAGCCCCAUAGCGCCCCAUAGCUCUGCCCCAUAGAUGCCCCAUAGCUGCCCUAUAGCGCCCCAUAACCCCAUAGCCCCCAUUCAUCCUCCAUCCAUUCCCACUGCCCUCCACCUCUGCACCCCAUAACGCCAUCUCUGCCCUAUAGAGCCCCAUAGAUCUGCCCCAUAGAUGCCCCAUAGCCGCCCCAUAGCGCCCCAUAGCGCCCCAUAACCCCAUAGACCCCAUUCAUCCUCCAUCCAUUCCCAUUGCCCUCCAUCUCUGCCCAAUAGAGCCCUAUAGAGCCCCAUAGAGUCCCAUAGAUCUGCCCCAUAGAUGCCCAUAGCGCCCUAUAGCGCCCCAUAGCGCCCCAUAACCCCAAAGACCCCAUUCGUCCUCUAUCCAUUCCCAUUGCCUCAUAUCAGCCCACGUCUCUGCCCCAUAGAGCUCCAUAUCUGCCCCAUAGAGCCCCAUACCUCUGCCCCAUAGCUCUGCCCCAUUGAUGCCCCAUAGCUGCCCUAUAGCGCCCCAUAGCGCCCCAUAACCCCAUAACCCCCAUUCAUUCUCCAUCCAUUCCCACUGUCCUCCAUCUCUGCACCCCAUAACACCAUCUCUGCCCCAUAGAGCCCCAUAGAGCCCCAUAGCUCUGCCCCAUAGAUGCCCUAUAGUCACCCUAUAGCGCCCCAUAGCGCCCCAUAGCCCCCAUUCAUCCUCCAUCCAUUCCCAUUGCCGCACAUUUCUGCCCCAUAGCUGCCCCAUAGCGCCCCAUAGCGCCAUAUCUGCCCCAUAGCACCUCACAGCUCUGCCCCAUAGCUUUGCCCCAUAGCCCGAUCUAUGGGGCUGGAGCCAAUCUAUGGGGCUGGAACCCGAUAUGGGGCCGAUCUAUGGGGCUGGAGGCAACCUAUGGGGCAGGAGCCAAUCUAUGGGGCCAGGACCCGCUAUGGGGCCGAUCUAUGGGGCUGAAAAUGUCUAUGGGGCUGAUCUAUGGGGCUGGAGCCAAUCUAUGGGGCUGGGACAGUCUAUGAGACCAAUCUAUGGGGCCAGGACCCACUAUGGGGCCAAUCUAUGGGGCCAGGACCCACUAUGGGGCCAAUCUAUGGGGCUGGAACCCACUAUGGGGCCAAUCUAUGGGGCUGGGACCUGCUAUGGGGCCGAUCUAUGGGGCUGGGGCCGAUGUGUGGGGCCGGAAUGCCCCAUAGGUGUCCCCUUCCAUCCCCCCCCCCCCCCAAUUUCCGCCCCACGGAUUCUUUGCUGCUAUUUGGGGCUCCUCCACCUGCGCUGCCCCACAGCUGUUGUGGGGCGGGGGGGCGGGGGGGGGGGGGGGGGAACUUCCGCCCACCCCAUGGGGCCCCACAGCGCCGCCCCAUAGAUGGGAACCGGGGGGGGGGGGGGGGGGGGGGGGCACUGGGAGGGGCUGCCCCAUAGAUCUGCCCCAUAGAUCAGCACGAGAGAUGGCACAGGUAUGGCUCUGCCCCAUAGAUGGUAACUGGGAUGGCUCUGCCCCAUAGAUCUGCCCCAUAGGUUACACUGAGGGAGCUCUGCCCCAUAGGUGGCACUGGGGGGGUUCUGCCCCAUAGAUGGUACAGGUAUGGCUCUGCCCCAUAGAUCUGCCCCAUAGGUGGCACUGGGGGGGCUCUGCCCCACAGAUGGCACAGGUAUGGCUCUGCCCCAUAGAUGGAUGGCACUGGGGGGAGGCUCUGCCCCAUAGAUCUGUCCCAUAGGUGGCAGUGGGGGGGCUCUGCCCCAUAGAUCUGCCCCAUAGAUGGCACUGGGGGGGCUCUGCCCCAUAGAUGGGAACCCGGGGGGGGGGAGGGGGGCAGUGGGGGGGCUCUGCCCCAUAGAUCUGCCCCAUAGAUGGCACUGGGGGGGCUCUGCCCCAUAGAUGGGAACCCGGGGGGGG
RNAcentral lists this long non-coding RNA (2572 nucleotides) under Gallus gallus (chicken). RNAcentral's name for it is "lncRNA (ENSGALG00010000477.1)". Lineage: Eukaryota; Metazoa; Chordata; Aves; Galliformes; Phasianidae. The record is from RNAcentral.